This 119-nucleotide ribosomal RNA is filed under the name Triticum aestivum (bread wheat). RNAcentral also lists the same sequence under 1 other name. The record is from RNAcentral. Lineage: Eukaryota; Viridiplantae; Streptophyta; Magnoliopsida; Poales; Poaceae.
CGAUGCGAUCAUACCAGCAUUAAAGCAUCGGGUCCCAUCAGAACUCCAAAGUUAAGCAUGCUUGGGCAAGAGUAGUACUAGGAUGGGUGACCUCCUUGGAUGUCCUCGUGCUGCAUUCC